GAUGAAGAACGUAGCGAAAUGCGAUACUUGGUGUGAAUUGCAGAAUCCCGUGAACCAUCGAGUCUUUGAACGCAAGUUGCGCCCGAAGCCAUCAGGUUGAGGGCACGUCUGCCUGGGCGUCACAUAUCGUUGCCCAAUGCCUAUUGCAGUGCAAUAGGAAUUUCUAUGGCGAAUGAUGGCUUCCCGUGAGCGUUGUUGCCUCGCGGUUGGUUGAAAAUCGAGUCCUUGGUAGGGUGUGCCAUGGUAGAUGGUGGUCGAGUUAGAACGAUACCGAUCAUGUGCAUGCUCCCCAAAAUAUGGCCUCUAUGACCCACACGCGUCUUUUGACGCUCAUGACGAGACCUCAGGUCAGGCGGGGCUACCCGCUGAAUUUAAGCAUAUCAAUAAGCGGAGGA
This 395-nucleotide unclassified non-coding RNA is filed under the name soil metagenome. RNAcentral describes it as "partial contains 5.8S ribosomal RNA, internal transcribed spacer 2, and large subunit ribosomal RNA". The stretch from base 1 to 122 matches the Rfam family "5.8S ribosomal RNA", at positions 35 to 154 of the family's 154-position model. The record is from RNAcentral.